GAGUUUGAUCAUGGCUCAGGAUGAACGCUAGCGGCAGGCUUAACACAUGCAAGUCGAGGGGUAUAGUUCUUCGGAAUUAGAGACCGGCGCACGGGUGCGUAACGCGUAUGCAAUCUACCUUUCACAGAGGGAUAGCCCAGAGAAAUUUGGAUUAAUACCUCAUAGUAUAACGACUCCGCAUGGGGAUGUUAUUAAAGUCACAGCGGUGAAAGAUGAGCAUGCGUCCCAUUAGCUAGUUGGUAAGGUAACGGCUUACCAAGGCUACGAUGGGUAGGGGUCCUGAGAGGGAGAUCCCCCACACUGGUACUGAGACACGGACCAGACUCCUACGGGAGGCAGCAGUGAGGAAUAUUGGACAAUGGGCGCAAGCCUGAUCCAGCCAUGCCGCGUGCAGGAUGACGGUCCUAUGGAUUGUAAACUGCUUUUGCACAGGAAGAAACAACGCUACGUGUAGCGUCUUGACGGUACUGUGAGAAUAAGGAUCGGCUAACUCCGUGCCA
RNAcentral lists this ribosomal RNA (500 nucleotides) under uncultured bacterium. RNAcentral describes it as "bacterial SSU rRNA". It matches the Rfam family "Bacterial small subunit ribosomal RNA", at positions 9 to 510 of the family's 1533-position model. The record is from RNAcentral.